This 253-nucleotide ribosomal RNA is filed under the name uncultured bacterium. RNAcentral describes it as "partial 16S ribosomal RNA". It matches the Rfam family "Bacterial small subunit ribosomal RNA", at positions 524 to 776 of the family's 1533-position model. The record is from RNAcentral.
UACGGGGGGGGCAAGCGUUGUUCGGAAUUACUGGGCGUAAAGGGCUCGUAGGCGGCCAACUAAGUCGGAUGUGAAAUCCCCAGGCUCAACCCGGGAACUGCGUCCGAUACUGGCAGGCUUGAAUUCGGGAGAGGGAUGCGGAAUUCCUGGUGUAGCGGUGAAAUGCGCAGAUAUCAGGAGGAACACCGGUGGCGAAGGCGGUGGUCUGGGCCGGCACUGACGCUGAGGAGCGAAAGCGUGGGUAGCAAACAGG